Molecule: long non-coding RNA, 2239 nt
Organism: Esox lucius (northern pike)
Lineage: Eukaryota; Metazoa; Chordata; Actinopteri; Esociformes; Esocidae
Source: Ensembl
CUCAAGUAAGCCCCACACACCCACCAGCAGACCGCCCCCGGGCCCUUCAAAUAUGUUGGAUGUAUUAAUGAGUAAAGUAGCCAGCUAAGCGACUUGAUCACCUUUGUGUAGACAUGUAAACAUAUUCAUGAACCACAAUUGCUGGGUUUUGGUUAGUCUAGAUGCCUGAAAUAAACUCUGCACCAGCUUAAGAGAUUUUCACAUUUUGUUCUACGACACACACAGGUUAGAAACCACCGUCUCUCACCGUUGCUUACCAUAAUCUUUUCCCCUAACUAAGGAUUCAUGGGGGACAGUUCUUUACUGUCCCCAUGAAACCUUAGGUCGCUUUUGCGAAUGUGAUAUGCACGCGAGACAUUCGCCAUGACCCAACACAACAAGGGAGAGGCAGGGUAAGCUCCCACUGACAAGAAUGCUAUGGCUAACUAGCAAUCCCACGUUUCAAAGUAGUGAUGGGAUAACCAGUUUCAUUUUGGUGACUUGGUUGUUUAACUCUCGUUCAGCAAAAAGACAACGUCUGAAUAUGUACGGUAACAAUAGCUAACUUGUGUUACGUAUCAACCAGUUAUAUGUUGUGCUUAUUCUUUGUAACUUAUUUCAACUGGUACGUAACGUUAACUAAAUCAUAUUUCUUUGUGUAACAUUAUCUGCAAGUGAGAUAGCUAACUCUUAGCAGUAACAUUGUCUGUUGUUAGCUAGACUAGCUAAAUCUGCACUUGUUACAAUUCCGUUAGGUGUCUUGUGUGUAUCUUUGUGUGUCCACAGUGCUCCUUAGCUAGCCUGUGUCUUAUUCUGCUGAAACACUUGCAACUGGCUGUUUUUGUAAACCUCUUUUCUAAACAUUGCUUUCAGAUCAUGACAUUUUCUAUAGUUUUGUUCCCGGAGGAGGACAUUUCUACUGGCCCCCAGCCAGGACACCUAGGAGGCUGGCCCUUAUUUACUCUAAAUUUGAAAAAGUACGUGGGAGACCGCAUGUGGGUAUCGCCAGAGGAGCGAAAAUGUUUAUGUUUAUUUUUAGGAUGGAGCAAGUACAGUACUCCACGGCACCAUAGAAGUACUCCACGGCACCAUAGAGGUGCUCCACGGCACCAUAGAGGUACUCCACGGCACCAUGCGGAGGACUGCAACAAAGGAGUUGACUUAAGGAUGCCCCACGUGGGACUACACCAAAGUGGCACUGUUGUUGUUCCUACAAUGCUAAUUGUAAAUCUCAGAACCGCGACACGAAGGCUCUGCUCUCACAAGACACACAAUAACAGGAAACAGAUUGAAACACUGACUGCCACUAUGCUGAGUGAUGGUUCAUUUAUUCUGCCUUUUAAGAAUAGGUGGCUCCUGGGGACCCGGGUGUGAGAGCCACUCUGAUAUGGAUGAAAUGUGACAUAACUGCUUCUCUCAACGUUGUUAGUCCCCCAGCCACCCAGACAUGGCCUUGAUAUGGUCUUGGAAUUAAGGGAAUCAGAAGAAACUACGAGGUCUCGCUGGAUAAAGUUACUCAAUCCAGAAAUUCCAUCUGCCUUUCUUUUGUGUUGUAAGUGCUAAGCUACUUUGAAUUGAGUCAAAUAGUGGUGAUGACACACUUAAAUGUUCAUUAAACUUUAUUUGCACAAACCCCUAAAGGACGUUUGCUCAUUCUUGCACAUUAUUAUUUCCGUAGGCCAAUACUUUAUUUGUACUUACACGUUGUAACUCUGAAACUAUAUACCAUUUCACUAAUUUUACAUAUUGACUCAUAAAUGUUUUGUUCUAUAUUAUGUAAACUGAUUCUGGUAAUGUCCGCUGGAAGAAUAGCUCUGUAUGGGGCCAGGUGCUGGUGUCUGACGCUAAUUGGGAAUCUCUGUGCCAGAAUUUAGGUGAUAUGGAGACUCAUUUUAUGUUGCGACCCACUAUGGUGAAAGAUCAGAGAGUAGUGCUAGUCAUAUUAGCAAUGUUCAAGGUUCCAAGUACUGUAUCUCUAACUAAUGUAAAAAAAAGUUAUGACUCAAAGCCGGUUACCAAAUGUUUCUGAGGUGAUAGACAUUUUGAAAUGUAUUGCUCGCUGUGCCAGUGGGAUCCAAUGCCCUCUCUCACAAAUUUUUAGCUUUGACACCUGUUUGUUGUUUUUGCCCUUACUUGUGUUCCUGAUCACUGUCUUUAUUUAAGUUCCUCCUUUCCUAUUGUAUCUUCUCGAUCAUUAUUUGGUUCUCAUGCCACUGUAAUGUUGAUUUGUGUUUUUGUGUGUAGUUUUUGUCACUUCUUA